AGCGAACGCUGGCGGCAGGCUUAACACAUGCGAGUCGAACGGGCAUAGCAAUAUGUCAGUGGCAGACGGGUGAGUAACGCGUGGGAACGUACCUUUUGGUUCGGAACAACACAGGGAAACUUGUGCUAAUACCGGAUAAGCCCUUACGGGGAAAGAUUUAUCGCCGAAAGAUCGGCCCGCGUCUGAUUAGCUAGUUGGUAGGGUAAUGGCCUACCAAGGCGACGAUCAGUAGCUGGUCUGAGAGGAUGAUCAGCCACAUUGGGACUGAGACACGGCCCAAACUCCUACGGGAGGCAGCAGUGGGGAAUAUUGGGCAAUGGGCGAAAGCCUGAUCCAGCCAUGCCGCGUGAGUGAUGAAGGCCCUAGGGUUGUAAAGCUCUUUUGUGCGGGAAGAUAAUGACGGUACCGCAAGAAUAAGCCCCGGCUAACUUCGUG
This 435-nucleotide ribosomal RNA is filed under the name uncultured bacterium. Its description in RNAcentral is "partial 16S ribosomal RNA". It matches the Rfam family "Bacterial small subunit ribosomal RNA", at positions 29 to 507 of the family's 1533-position model. The record is from RNAcentral.